Molecule: ribosomal RNA, 252 nt
Filed under: uncultured bacterium
Lineage: Bacteria
Description: partial 16S ribosomal RNA
Rfam family: Bacterial small subunit ribosomal RNA
Source: RNAcentral
CGUGAGAUGUUGGGUUAAGUCCCGCAACGAGCGCAACCCCUAUUGUUAGUUGCCAUCAUUCAGUUGGGCACUCUAGCGAGACUGCGGUAAUAAACCGGAGGAAGGUGGGGAUGACGUCAAAUCAUCAUGCCCCUUAUGACCUGGGCUACACACGUGCUACAAUGGUUGGUACAACGAGUUGCGAGUCGGUGACGGCGAGCUAAUCUCUUAAAGCCAAUCUCAGUUCGGAUUGUAGGCUGCAACUCGCCUACA